CACUCUUCCUAGAGAUGUGAUUAAGUGCCAUAUUUUGAAGCUUUCGAACGUGUUAAGCUGCUUGUUACACGGGGCUGACUCAUGCAAGGGUUCAUUUGGAUGAGUGGAUUUGUGUGUUGUACUAUGGCUUAGUGGACAGAGGAUUUGGGAGGUUGGAAUUUCCGUUCUACUUUCUCAGUGACGUGGUGCAUGAACACUAAGUAUCUGAGAACAUUAAGGUCUCUGAGUGUUUCACCUUUAAGUCUUUGUGGACCCUACAUUGGACUCGAGGGUGAUUGGCUCAGUUGUGUCACCCGUGGACUGACAAGGUUCAUGUGGCUGAUGGACCGACCUGGCUGACAAGUUCGCCUUGCCAAUCGCUGAGACCUCCUGUUGCUAUCAGCUACUGCGAUGAAAUGCACACACGGGGUGUCAAUCUAUGUGUCCGUGUCCGGUAGCCUUCUCAUUCUCUUCACCUCCAGUGACUAAUCUCUUGGCAUAUCUGCUCCCCUUCUGCUCUCUCUACUCAUCAGGAUGGUUCUGUGCUUCAUUACUCUGUCCUCAACCCUCACCCCAGGCUGUCCAUCGUGAUUUUCAAUAUCUUCUUGGUAAUGAUCCCUUUGGAGAUGAUUAUAGUCAUGGUCCAUGUGGCCAGAAGAACAGAGAAGCAGGGAUCUCGGUCCCAAGUGAACCCUUGAAGUGCAGCUUUAUUGAGAUGUGUGAAGUGACUCAGUCAUGUCCGACUCUGCGACCCCAUGGACUGAAGCCUGCCAGUCUUCUCCAUCCUUAAGAUUUUCCAGGCAAGAAUACUGGAGUGGGUUGCCAUUUCUUUCUCCAUUAUUGAGAUAUAAUUGUCAAAU
Molecule: long non-coding RNA, 839 nt
Filed under: Capra hircus (goat)
Lineage: Eukaryota; Metazoa; Chordata; Mammalia; Artiodactyla; Bovidae
Description: lncRNA (ENSCHIG00000000595.1)
Source: RNAcentral